UAGGGAAUCUUCCGCAAUGGGCGAAAGCCUGACGGAGCAACGCCGCGUGAGUGAUGAAGGUCUUCGGAUCGUAAAACUCUGUUAUUAGGGAAGAACAAAUGUGUAAGUAACUAUGCACGUCUUGACGGUACCUAAUCAGAAAGCCACGGCUAACUACGUGCCAGCAGCCGCGGUAAUACGUAGGUGGCAAGCGUUAUCCGGAAUUAUUGGGCGUAAAGCGCGCGUAGGCGGUUUUUUAAGUCUGAUGUGAAAGCCCACGGCUCAACCGGGGAGGGUCAUUGGAAACUGGAAAACUUGAGUGCAGAAGAGGAAGGUGGAAUUCCAUGUGUAGCGGUGAAAUGCGCAGAGAUAUGGAGGAACACCAGUGGCGAAGGCGACUUUCUGGUCUGUAACUGACGCUGAUGUGCGAAAGCGUGGGGAUCAAACAGG
Molecule: ribosomal RNA, 429 nt
Filed under: Actinomycetes bacterium
Lineage: Bacteria; Bacillati; Actinomycetota; Actinomycetes
Description: Actinobacteria bacterium partial 16S ribosomal RNA
Rfam family: Bacterial small subunit ribosomal RNA
Source: RNAcentral